RNAcentral lists this Y RNA (101 nucleotides) under Microcebus murinus (gray mouse lemur). RNAcentral describes it as "Y RNA (ENSMICG00000042852.1)". It matches the Rfam family "Y RNA". Rfam says of the family: Y RNAs are components of the Ro ribonucleoprotein particle (Ro RNP), in association with Ro60 and La proteins. The Y RNAs and Ro60 and La proteins are well conserved, but the function of the Ro RNP is not known. The record is from RNAcentral. Lineage: Eukaryota; Metazoa; Chordata; Mammalia; Primates; Cheirogaleidae.
GGCUGGCCCCAGUGCAGUGGUGUUUACAACUAAUUGAUCACAACCAGUUACAAAUUUCUUUGUUCCUUUUCCAUGCCUACUGCUUCAUUUGACUGUUUUUA